GCUGAGUCACACCAGUAGUGUAGUCCCAGCUGCUGGGGAGGCUGAGGUGGGAGGAUUGCUUGAGCCCGGGAGUUCUGGACUGUAGUGCACUAUGCUGGGUGUCCUCACUAAGUUCAGAUCAAUCUGGAGACCUUUGGGUGCGGGGGCACCAGGUUGCCAAGGAGAGGUGAACCUGAACCUGCCCAGUCGGAAUGGGAGCAGGUUAAAAUCCCUGUGCUGAUCAUUAGUGGGCUCGCGCCUGUGAAUAGCCACACUGCACUCCAGCCUGGGCAGCAGAGGGAGAUCCCCUCCACUU
RNAcentral lists this signal recognition particle RNA (295 nucleotides) under Sciurus vulgaris (Eurasian red squirrel). RNAcentral describes it as "Metazoan signal recognition particle RNA (ENSSVLG00005012868.1)". It matches the Rfam family "Metazoan signal recognition particle RNA". Rfam says of the family: The signal recognition particle (SRP) is a universally conserved ribonucleoprotein. It is involved in the co-translational targeting of proteins to membranes. Lineage: Eukaryota; Metazoa; Chordata; Mammalia; Rodentia; Sciuridae. The record is from Rfam by way of RNAcentral.